Long non-coding RNA from Pleuronectes platessa (European plaice), 460 nucleotides. RefSeq lists it as uncharacterized. The transcript is spliced from 5 exons. NCBI's taxonomy places the organism in Eukaryota, Metazoa, Chordata, Actinopteri, Pleuronectiformes, Pleuronectidae. The record is from RefSeq and is a predicted model, not a curated record.
CUCUAAUGUUGGAAACGUCCUUAUGGUAAAAUGCCUCGUUCUGGUUUAAAACAUUUUGGAUGCGGAAAUGUGUUUCUACAAUGAAGCAACAAACACUGAAAUCAAUCUUCCUGAAAGGAAACCAGAGAUACACUAUAAAAGGAGAUGAAGGUUUAAUCCCACGGAUCUGCGAAGGCUUGUUCCGGCAGAUAUCUCAUAGAAGCCAGAGUGAUGCAAUGUCGUUCGGUACAGAGGUCAGCUCUUUAGAGAUCUAUAAUGAACGUGUGCAGCACCUCCUCAAGCAGAGAGCUACACCUACAGAUGGUGGAGGUCAGACUGAGUGAGCACCCAAGAGAUGCCCCCUAUGUUCAGAAUCUGUCCAAGCACUUGUUGCAUAACCGCAGUGACGUGGAGGACCUGAUAUCUCUCGGCGACGCCAGGCGCACCACAGCCAGCGUGGGCAUGAAUGACCUCAGUAGCC